AUUAGAUUAGAUCGAUGGAGUGAACAAUUACUGAAAUGAACAGAAAUGAUCGAGCGAGCUCAACGUACGUAGCUCAGUUCCCAUGCAGAAACCCUCUGUCUGAUCUAUAUCUAUACCCUCUGCGUCGGCUGCUGGAUCGAUCGAUCGACUGCACGGGAGACGCCAAACAGAAAAACCAGAGCGCAGGGGAAACAACACGAGCUGAGAGGAGCAGGGAUCAGCGAACAAGGCGAUGCGAGCAUGGAUUGUAUAUUAAUUCCAAAGUGGAGGGCAGCAGCGCCACAUGCUCCCGCAGCCGGCGAGGCAAUCUGUCGAACAUGUCGAGUGCCUGCCGCUUCUUCUCCCAUUUGGACAAGCAGAGCAAACAGACGUAGCUGAUCGACUGGCUACCUCUCAUGCACAUGCACGUGGUCGUCAACACACAGUAAAACAGGGUU
Molecule: long non-coding RNA, 437 nt
Organism: Zingiber officinale
Lineage: Eukaryota; Viridiplantae; Streptophyta; Magnoliopsida; Zingiberales; Zingiberaceae
Exons: 2
Source: RefSeq, a predicted model, not a curated record